CCUACGGGAGGCAGCAGUGGGGAAUAUUGCACAAUGGGCGAAAGCCUGAUGCAGCAACGCCGCGUGAGGGACGACGGCCUUCGGGUUGUAAACCUCUUUUAGCAGGGAAGAAGCGAAAGUGACGGUACCUGCAGAAAAAGCGCCGGCUAACUACGUGCCAGCAGCCGCGGUAAUACGUAGGGCGCAAGCGUUAUCCGGAAUUAUUGGGCGUAAAGAGCUCGUAGGCGGUUUGUCGCGUCUGCUGUGAAAUCCCGAGGCUCAACCUCGGGCCUGCAGUGGGUACGGGCAGACUAGAGUGCGGUAGGGGAGAUUGGAAUUCCUGGUGUAGCGGUGGAAUGCGCAGAUAUCAGGAGGAACACCGAUGGCGAAGGCAGAUCUCUGGGCCGUAACUGACGCUGAGGAGCGAAAGGGUGGGGAGCAAACAGGAUUAGAUACCCUGGUAG
RNAcentral lists this ribosomal RNA (443 nucleotides) under uncultured bacterium. RNAcentral describes it as "bacterial SSU rRNA". It matches the Rfam family "Bacterial small subunit ribosomal RNA", at positions 338 to 793 of the family's 1533-position model. The record is from RNAcentral.